CCUGGUUGAUCCUGCCAUAUAUAUGCUUGUUUAAAAGAUUAAGCCAUGCAAAUUUAAGUGUUGUUCGGGUUUACUUGGAUAACACUGUAGAUUGCUUAUUAAAAAAGCGAAAAUGUAUGGAGAGGAAGAAGGUAUUAACGGCUUGCCGUAAAGGUCUUGUUUGAUAACAAAGUGAAAAAUUUUGAUAAGAAACAAAGAGAGAAAAGGGGGGAAGCGCCAAUGAAAUUGAGUUCUCCUUAUAAGAAAAACGUAAGUUUUUCUGAUUUUUUCCUACAUUCGCUUAUCUAUCAUAAUUGAAGGAUGUGUAGUGAACAUUCUUGUUUAUAACGGAUACGGAGAAUAAGGGUUUGAUUCCGAAGAGGGAGCAUGAGAAAUGGCUACUACAUCUAAGGGUGGCAGCAGGCGCGAAAAUUGCCCAAUACAGACUCUGUGAGGCAGUGACAAAAAAUAACAAUAGAAGAGUCAUUAUGGCUAUUCUAAUUGGAAUGAGAACAAGAUAAAAUUUUUAACGAGAAACAAGAAAAGGGCAAGUCUGGUGCCAGCAGCCGCGGUAAUACCAGCUUUUCUAGCAUAUAUUAAAGUUGCUGCAGUUAAAACGCUCGUAGUUUGAAUUAUUUCCUUGGGGAGGGAGGGAAGAGGGGGUCGUGGGCGCAAGUCUGCGGCACUCUCACAAAAAUUCCCUUUUUGCCCAAGGAAUUGUUAAGAGUGGAGUGCGGGCCUUUAAGUAGGCGCGCACUCGGAUAACCAUGAACAAAAAAUAUUGCUCAAAGAAGGUCAGAUUGACUAUUGAGUUUUCAGCAUGGGAUUAUGGAAGAAGAGGGUGGUGGAGGGGGAGGGGUUUCGGCUCUUUUCUCACGCCGCCUUAAUGGUUAAUGAGGACGAAGCGUGGAAGUUCAUAUUAAAAUGUCAGAGGUGAAAUUCUUGGAUUAUUUUAAGAUGAACAUCAGCGAAGGCAUUCUCAAGUGCGUGCCUGUCAAUCAAGAACGAAAGUUGGGGGAUCGAAGACGAUCAGAUACCGUCGUAGUCUCAACAGUAAACUAUGCCGACUAUGAAUUGGAAAUCGUUUUAAGAGGAUGUAAAGGGAAACCUUUUGCCUCUGAUGACUCUUCCAGCGCAUUACAAGAAAUUAAGAGUUUUUGGGUUCCGGGGGGAGUAUAGUCGCAAGGCCGAAACUUAAAAGAAUUGACGGAAGGGCACCACCAGGUGUGGAGCCUGCGGCUUAAUUUGACCCAACACGGGGAAACUUACCAGGUCCAAACAGCGUGAGGAUUGACAGAUUGAUAGCUCUUUCAUGAUUCGUUGGGUGGUGGUGCAUGGCCGUUUUUAGUUGGUGGUGUGAGUUGUCUGGUUGAUUCCGUUAACGAACGAGACCUUUGUUGUAUAAUAGGAGGCAGGAGUCUUUGCG
Molecule: ribosomal RNA, 1405 nt
Filed under: metagenome
Description: bacterial SSU rRNA
Rfam family: Eukaryotic small subunit ribosomal RNA
Source: RNAcentral